GACGAACGCUGGCGGCGUGCCUAAUACAUGCAAGUCGUGCGGACCUUUUAAAAGCUUGCUUUUAAAAGGUUAGCGGCGGACGGGUGAGUAACACGUGGGCAACCUGCCUGUAAGACUGGGAUAACGCCGGGAAACCGGGGCUAAUACCAGAUCGUUUUUUCCUCCGCAUGGAGGAAAAAGGAAAGGCGGCUUCGGCUGCCACUUACAGAUGGGCCCGCGGCGCAUUAGCUAGUUGGCGGGGUAACGGCCCACCAAGGCAACGAUGCGUAGCCGACCUGAGAGGGUGAUCGGCCACAUUGGGACUGAGACACGGCCCAAACUCCUACGGGAGGCAGCAGUAGGGAAUCGUCCGCAAUGGACGAAAGUCUGACGGAGCAACGCCGCGUGAGUGAAGAAGGCCUUCGGGUCGUAAAACUCUGUUGCCGGGGAAGAACAAGUGCCGUUCGAACAGGGCGGCGCCUUGACGGUACCCGGCCAGAAAGCCACGGCUAACUACGU
RNAcentral lists this ribosomal RNA (498 nucleotides) under uncultured bacterium. Its description in RNAcentral is "partial 16S ribosomal RNA". It matches the Rfam family "Bacterial small subunit ribosomal RNA", at positions 28 to 506 of the family's 1533-position model. The record is from RNAcentral.